AGAGUUUGAUCAUGGCUCAGGACGAACGCUGGCGGCGUGCCUAACACAUGCAAGUCGAGCGGUAUUGGGAAGCUUGCUUUCCAAUAUAGCGGCGGACGGGUGAGUAACACGUAGGCAACCUGCCCAUCACACGGGGAUAGCUCGGGGAAACCCGGGGUAAUACCCGAUACCUUUGAUUAUCGCAUGGUGAUCAAAGAAAGCGAAUAAGCGGUGAUGGAUGGGCCUGCGGCCCAUUAGCUAGUUGGCGGGAUAACAGCCCACCAAGGCGACGAUGGGUAGCCGACCUGAGAGGGUGGCCGGCCACACUGGGACUGCGACACGGCCCAGACUCCUACGGGAGGCAGCAGUGGGGAAUAUUGCGCAAUGGGGGAAACCCUGACGCAGCGACGCCGCGUGAGCGAAGAAGGCCUUCGGGUUGUAAAGCUCAGUCAUCGGGGACGAAGAGGACGGUACCCGAGGAGGAAGCCCCGGCUAACUACGUGCCAGCAGCCGCGGUAAUACGUAGGGGGCGAGCGUUGUCCGGAAUUACUGGGUGUAAAGGGCGUGUAGGCGGGGAUGCCAGUUAUCGGUAAAAACCCUGAGCUCAACUUGGGGCUUGCCGAUAAAACCGCAUCUCUUGAGUGCAGGAGAGGGAAGUGGAAUUCCCGGAGUAGCGGUGAAAUGCGUAGAUACCGGGAGGAACACCAGUGGCGAAGGCGGCUUCCUGGCCUGUAACUGACGCUGAGGCGCGAAAGCUGGGGGAGCGAACGGGAUUAGAUACCCCGGUAGUCCCAGCCGUAAAACGAUGGUUCACUAGGUGUGGGGGUGUGGUCAAAGCAUUCCCGUGCCCGGAGCUAAUGCAAUAAGUGAACCCACCUGGGGGAGUACCCGUCGCAAGGUUUUAAACUCAAAUGAAUUGACGG
This 902-nucleotide ribosomal RNA is filed under the name uncultured bacterium. RNAcentral's name for it is "bacterial SSU rRNA". It matches the Rfam family "Bacterial small subunit ribosomal RNA", at positions 8 to 916 of the family's 1533-position model. The record is from RNAcentral.